UUUUUUUUUUUUUUUUUGAGACAGAGUCUUGCUCUGUCACCCAGGCUGGAGUGCAGUGGCAUGGUCUCAGCUCACUGCAACCUCCGCCCCCUGGGUUCAAGUGGUUCUCCUGCUUCAGCCUCCCGAGUAGCUGGUAUUACAGGCGCCCACCACCACAUCUGGCUAAUUUUUGUAUUUUUAGUAGAGAUGGGGUUUCAUCAUGUUGGCCAGGCUGGUCUUGAACUCCUGACCUCGUGAUCCCGUGACCUGCCUUGGCCUCCCAAAGUGUUGGUAAUACAGGUGUAAGCCACCACACCCAGCUAAGCCUCUCUUCUUUACAAAUUACUCAGCCUCAGGUAUUCUUGUAUAGCAACACAAACAGAGUAAGACCAGAAGUCUUUAGAUGACUCCAGGCCCAGCAACCAUCUGACUACAACUUCAUGAAUGACCCCAAGUGAGGACCACCCAGAUGAGCUUGAACAAGUCCAACCAUGAGACAUAAUAAUACAUCGUUUUAAUCCACUGAAUUCGGGGGUGAUUUCUUAUGCAAUAAUACAUACUGGUCCACAAACAUUUUAGUUUAUAAUUUAAUUAAAUACAUACAGGAGGAGGAUUGAACUUAGGCACAGGCAAAUCAGAUGACAUUGUCAGAAAGAUGUUAGCAAGAACUCCGCACUAUAACAUCUCCUCUGGUGGCCUGUCCUGUUGCCAUAAAUUACACCAAGAGAGAAUCGCUUCUGGGUGACAGGUGAUCUCUUCAAGAUGGAUACAAAAGGGGGUCAUUGAGCAGCGAGGGAGAACACCUCAUGUUUAAUGAGGUAUCUGUACCUUACUAUGAAGUGGUUUCUUGAUGUCUGAAAACGGUCCCAGGGAAAUGAGGUUUUUGAUAUCCAGAGAGACAGUGCAAGGGAUAUGUUUAAAAAUAUGGACCACUAUGAAACUCGAAAAAGGCUGGAGUCAAGAGCAAGGAGAUAAGAAUGGAAGGAGGAACAAAAAUAUUCACUUACAUCUUUGUCUGUUUCAAUUUGUCAAUUUCAGCUAUAGAUGACUCGGAGGGUUCUUUGUUCUCAGCAAACUUUGUAGCUUACAUGGUGACUAAAAUACGACUGAUGAUGCAGAUGGAUGGGGAAAUGCUUUAUUUCAAACCUCCAGGGGACUUGGCACAUGGCUGUAACCCAGGUCUAUGCACGUCACCUUGAUCCUCUGAUGGUGACUGGCUCUGAAACAUGAAUGGGCAACAAAGGGGCCCAAAUAUGGCUGCCCCAGACUCUGCUGCAAAGGGAGUCCUCUUUCACCUUUUGUUCCCUUGGAGCAAAUGGGAAAUGAUUGGUGUGUCUGCUCUUAUGUAGAGGCAAAAAUGUGUACAAUUAAAGAUUCAAUCGUAUCUACUCAGGAGAAUUCCCUUUCUAUCUUGCUAAAUGACAAUGAGGAGGGCUUCAAAACCAGGGAAGGGAAAAAUCUGGAGGCAUCCCAGCUUGAGGCUCAGGUUGAGGAAACGGUAUCAUAAAUAUUGAUUUAGUAGAGUUGAAGUAGUACACUUAGUCAUAAUGACAACAAUGCUGGUAGCAGA
RNAcentral lists this long non-coding RNA (1549 nucleotides) under Macaca fascicularis (crab-eating macaque). RNAcentral describes it as "lncRNA (ENSMFAG00000060420.1)". The record is from RNAcentral. Lineage: Eukaryota; Metazoa; Chordata; Mammalia; Primates; Cercopithecidae.